UGGUGGAGUGAUUCGUCUGGUUAAUUCCGUUAACGAACGAGACCUCAACCUGCUAAAUAGUCCGCGGCAUCCUUCGGGAUGCGCGAGGGACUUCUUAGAGGGACUAUCGGUGUUUAGCCGAUGGAAGUUUGAGGCAAUAACA
RNAcentral lists this ribosomal RNA (142 nucleotides) under uncultured eukaryote. RNAcentral describes it as "partial 18S ribosomal RNA". It matches the Rfam family "Eukaryotic small subunit ribosomal RNA", at positions 1299 to 1458 of the family's 1831-position model. The record is from RNAcentral.